RNAcentral lists this ribosomal RNA (253 nucleotides) under uncultured bacterium. RNAcentral's name for it is "partial 16S ribosomal RNA". It matches the Rfam family "Bacterial small subunit ribosomal RNA", at positions 524 to 776 of the family's 1533-position model. The record is from RNAcentral.
GACGAACCGUGCGACCGUUGUUCGGAUUCACUGGGCUUAAAGGGCGCGUAGGCGGGUGAUCAAGUCCGGGGUGAAAUCCUUCAGCUCAACUGGAGAAUAGCCUUGGAUACUGGUCGCCUCGAGGGAGGUAGGGGCGGGCGGAACUUCCGGUGGAGCGGUGAAAUGCGUUGAUAUCCACAGGAACUCCGGUGGCGAAGGCGGCACGCUGGACCUUUUCUGACGCUGAGGCGCGAAAGCCAGGGGAGCGAACGGG